This 1260-nucleotide long non-coding RNA is filed under the name Nicotiana benthamiana. RNAcentral describes it as "long non-coding RNA (NBEN_LNC031028)". The record is from RNAcentral. Lineage: Eukaryota; Viridiplantae; Streptophyta; Magnoliopsida; Solanales; Solanaceae.
UCUCGUCGGUCGUCGGUCGUCGGUGAAGAUGGAAACCCUAAUUUCCGUCACUGGAGAAGAAGAGGGGUCGUUGGUCGAUCUCUUUUUUUAAUUUCCGCAACUGGUCGAGGCUGUCGAGCUUUUCUUAAAACUGCUCGAUCGAUUUUUUCAAGAAAUCGAUCGCUUCGAUCGAUUUGCUCGCUUCAAAUCGCCUCGCUUUUCUUUGCUAAUCGACCGCUUUUGUUGGUCGCGUCGCCUGAAGGAGUAAAAAGCGAUAGGGUUUCACGUCGCCUCGCUUCGCGCUUUAAGCGACGAAGCGAGCGCCUUUUAAAACACUGGGGCAGAGAGGCUGUUUCGUCUAUUGCCACGUCCACAUCCAUUGAUACCUUCACGGUAAUAAUUUUGUCUUCUUUUGUAAUUUCUUACAAACUUCAUUAGAGUUAUAAUCAAACUUUGUUGUCUUUGUCUGUAUAUAAAUCAAAUCAUAGAAUUUCAAGAAUUUGAAAAAGAAAAGUAAAUUACUUACCUUAAAUCCAGAAUUGAAAAACUACAUCAGACUUAAACAAAUUUAAGUCUAUGAUUCAACAUAAUAGUUUCCUAGUAAUAAGAUCAAAUCAAAUCAUAGAGAGCAACCAUACAUCCUUAGGCAGAACUUUUAUUUAAGAAGCAUCAAGUUAGCUCUUGCAAUCCUAAGAUAUGGUGUUUAAGUGAAGGACAGAAACUUAAGUAUAAAAUAAAAAAAUCUACGCAUACACAAAGUUAUUACUUAUUUGGUUAAGCCUAAGUCAUAGUAUCUAUUUGACACAAUAUUCUAAACAAGUUCACACAUAUAAUAAUCCUACAUACAGAUUAUCUAGUGCAUAAAAAUUCUGAUACAAAAUAGAGUUAAGCACAUAUUAAGGUUCAAGAGACGUACCCGAUUGAAACUUGGCAUGCUUUCAAUGGAAAAUCGCACGACUGGCGACUGUUGUUAUCCUGAUACAAAAUAGAGUUAAGCACAUAUUGAGGUUCAAGAGACGUACCCGAUUGAAACUUGGCAUGCUUUCAAUGGAAAAUCGCACGACUGGCGACUGUUGUUAUCCUAAAUUUAUAUUAAAAAGAGAUUAAGAAAACUUACAACUAUGUUUCCCACAACUAUCAGUUGCAAUUUCUUUCUCGCUAAUGGAAUCUUAAUUUUCUCAAAAGAGAUUCUUGAGAUAGUAGAGCUUCGUGCUGAUAACGUGUUAUAAAAUAAUACAAGAACAAGAACAAUAUUGCAGAGAAAGUAGGGAGAGGAGANNN